AGAGUUUGAUCAUGGCUCAGGAUUAACGCUGGCGGUAUGCCUAAUACAUGCAAGUCGAACGAAAAUCUUCGGAUUUUAGUGGCGAACGGGUGAGUAACGUAUGUUUAAUCUACCUUGUAGUUUGGAAUAACCAUUGGAAACGAUGGCUAAUACUGAAUACUAUUUAUAAUGGAAUCUUUAUAAAUUAAAAGGGGCGUUUGCCCCGCUAUAAGAUGAGAACAUAUUACAUUAGCUAGUUGGUAGGGUAAAGGCCUACCAAGGCAAUGAUGUAUAGCCGAGCCGAGAGGUUGAUCGGCCACAAUGGGACUGAGACACGGCCCAUACUCCUACGGGAGGCAGCAGUAGGGAAUUUUUCACAAUGGACGAAAGUCUGAUGAAGCAAUACCGCGUGAGGGAAGACGGUUUUAGGACUGUAAACCUCUGUUAUAAGGGAAGAAUAUGUCGGAGAGGAAAUGCUCCGUGCAGUGACGGUACUUUAUUAGAAAGUCACGGCUAACUAUGUGCCAGCAGCCGCGAUAAUACAUAGGUGGCAAGCGUUAUCCGGAUUUAUUGGGCGUAAAGAGUGCACAGGUGGUUAUAUAAGUUUGAUGUUAAAGACCGAAGCUCAACUUCGGUUCGCAUUGAAAACUGUAUAACUAGAAUGCAGGUGGGAAUAGUGGAAUUCGAUGUGUAGCGGUGGGAUGCAUAAAUAUAUCGAGGAACACCAGUGGCGAAGGCGGCUAUUUGAACUGUAAUUGACACUUAAGCACGAAAGCGUGGGGAGCAAAUAGGAUUAGAUACCCUAGUAGUCCACGCCGUAAACGAUCUAGAUUAGAUGUCGGAAUUAUUCGGUAUCGCAGCUAACGCAUUAAGUCUAGCGCCUGGGUAGUACGCACGCAAGUGUAAAACUCAAAGGAAUUGACGGGGACCCGCACA
This 915-nucleotide ribosomal RNA is filed under the name uncultured Mollicutes bacterium. Its description in RNAcentral is "bacterial SSU rRNA". It matches the Rfam family "Bacterial small subunit ribosomal RNA", at positions 8 to 927 of the family's 1533-position model. The record is from RNAcentral. Lineage: Bacteria; Bacillati; Mycoplasmatota; Mollicutes.